Molecule: ribosomal RNA, 576 nt
Filed under: uncultured eukaryote
Lineage: Eukaryota
Description: bacterial SSU rRNA
Rfam family: Eukaryotic small subunit ribosomal RNA
Source: RNAcentral
ACAGUAUUUAUUAGAUAACAAACCAAUAUUCCUCUGGUCUAUUUGGUGAUUCAUAAUAACUGAUCGAAUCGUUUGGGUUGUACCCACGAUAAAUCAGCGAAGUUUCUGCCCCAUCAGCUUGAUGGUAGUGUAUUGGACUACCAUGGCUUUCACGGGUAACGGGGAUUAGGGUUCGAUACCGGAGAGGGAGCCUGAGAAACGGCUACCACUUCUACGGAAGGCAGCAGGCGCGUAAAUUACCCAAUCCUAAUUCAGGGAGGUAGUGACAAGAAAUAAUGGACCGGGAUUUUCCCGGGUUCACAAUGAGCCUAAUUUACACAUCUUAGUGAGGAUCCAUUGGAGGGCAAGUCUGGUGCCAGCAGCCGCGGUAAUUCCAGCUCCAAUAGCGUAUAUUAAAGUUGUUGCAGUUAAAAAGCUCGUAGUUGGACUUCUGUCGGUAGUAGUCGGGCCACUCCGUGUGGGUGCGCCUACCACUAUCGUCAUCCUUCUGUUAACGGUUCUGGCCUUCAUUGGUCGGUUCCGGGCUCAGAUACUUUACCUUGAGAAAAUUAGAGUGUUUCAGGCAGGCUUGCGCCC